Molecule: long non-coding RNA, 624 nt
Filed under: Vulpes vulpes (red fox)
Lineage: Eukaryota; Metazoa; Chordata; Mammalia; Carnivora; Canidae
Description: lncRNA (ENSVVUG00000003515.1)
Source: RNAcentral
GCCGGGGCGCGGGGCGCGCCUGGAGACACCGACCGCUCCCUCGCCACCGGAGUGGGGCCGCCGGAUUGCGCAAGCAGCUGUGGAAGGCCCUCCAGUGUCCGUGCCUUGGCCCACUGGAGCACGGACAGUUCCUGUUCUAAGAAGCUUUUCUACAGGGCCCAAUCCACGAACGCCUCUGUACCGGCCUGUCCGUGCCCAGUCGGCGUGUCUGCGUGUUCUCCGCGGCCCCUGCAGACGGCCCCCAGGCCGCGCACCUGCUCCUCCCCAGGGACUGAGACGACGGGAGGAAGAACUAGAUCAGUUUCUCCAGAAAGGCCUUCUUCGUCCCAGGAGAUGGGCUGUGUCAUUUCACUCUGACUGCAGACCUGACCUGAGGACCAAGAAUUCUUGCAGAUUCUAAGACUGUGCCCACAAGAAAUCCAUUUCAGGGUGCUUGGUGGGCUCAGUCAGUGAAGCAUCUGCCUUCAGCUCAGGUCAUGAUCUCGGGGUCCUGGGAUCAAGUCUGGCGUCAGGCUCCCUGCUCAGUGCGGAGUCUGCUUCUCCCUCUCUGUUUGCUCCUCCCCUUGCCCGUGUGCACAUUCUCUCUCAAAUAAAUAAAUAAAUAAAUAAAUAAAUAAAUAAAUA